CGGGGUGCAGCAGGCGCGAAAACUUUACAAUGCCGGCAACGGCGAUAAGGGAACCUCGAGUGCCAGGUUACAAAUCUGGCUGUCGUGAUGCCUAAAAAGCAUUGCAUAGCAAGGGCCGGGCAAGACCGGUGCCAGCCGCCGCGGUAACACCGGCGGCUCGAGUGGUAACCGUUAUUAUUGGGUCUAAAGGGUCUGUAGCCGGCCGGGUAAGUCUCUUGGGAAAUCUGGCAGCUUAACUGUCAGGCUUUCAGGAGAUACUGCCUGGCUCGAGGCCGGGAGAGGUGAGAGGUACUUCAGGGGUAGGGGUGAAAUCUUGUAAUCCUUGAAGGACCACCAGUGGCGAAGGCGUCUCACCAGAACGGACCUGACGGCAAGGGACGAAAGCUAGGGGCACGAACCGGAUUAGAUACCCGGGUAGUCCUAGCCGUAAACGAUACUCGCUAGGUGUCGGCCACGGUGCGACCGUGGUCGGUGCCGUAGGGAAGCCGUGAAGCGAGCCACCUGGGAAGUACGGCCGCAAGGCUGAAACUUAAAGGAAUUGGCGGGGG
Molecule: ribosomal RNA, 548 nt
Filed under: uncultured archaeon
Lineage: Archaea
Description: bacterial SSU rRNA
Rfam family: Archaeal small subunit ribosomal RNA
Source: RNAcentral